RNAcentral lists this ribosomal RNA (1630 nucleotides) under seawater metagenome. Its description in RNAcentral is "bacterial LSU rRNA". It matches the Rfam family "Bacterial large subunit ribosomal RNA", at positions 826 to 2444 of the family's 2925-position model. The record is from RNAcentral.
AGGCUAAUCAAGCCCGGAGAUAGCUGGUUCUCCUCGAAAGCUAUUUAGGUAGCGCCUCAUGUCUCACCACUGGGGGUAGAGCACUGUUUCGGCUAGGGGGUCAUACCGACCUACCAACCCGAUGCAAACUCCGAAUACCAGUGAGUGCAAUCAUGGGAGACACACGGCGGGUGCUAACGUUCGUCGUGGAGAGGGAAACAACCCAGACCGCCAGCUAAGGUCCCAAAUAUCAGUUAAGUGGGAAACGAUGUGGGAAGGCUCAGACAGCUAGGAAGUUGGCUUAGAAGCAGCCAUCUUUUAAAGAAAGCGUAAUAGCUCACUAGUCGAGUCGGCCUGCGCGGAAGAUUUAACGGGGCUAAACUGAUAACCGAAGCUGCGGACGCAUACUUGUAUGCGUGGUAGAGGAGCGUUCUGUAAGCCGUUGAAGGUGCAUUGUAAAGUGUGCUGGAGGUAUCAGAAGUGCGAAUGCUGACGUGAGUAACGAUAAAGCGGGUGAAAAACCCGCUCGCCGGAAGAUCAAGGUUUCCUGUCCAACGCUAAUCGGGACAGGGUUAGUCGGUACCUAAGGCGAGGCCGAAAGGCGUAGUCGAUGGAAAACAGGUUAAUAUUCCUGUACCGCUAUAUACUGCGAUGGGGGGACGGAGAAGGCUAGGUGAUCAGGGCGAUGGUUGUCCCUGUACAAGCUUGUAGGGAGAUCUCUUAGGUAAAUCCGGGAGAUCAUUAUCCUGAGGAGUGAUGUCGAGCUCAAUUGCGAGCGAAGUCAUUGAUGCCAUGCUUCCAAGAAAAGCCUCUAAGCUUCAGGUAUAUAGAGACCGUACUCCAAACCGACACAGGUGAUCAGGUAGAGAAUACCAAGGCGCUUGAGAGAACUAUGGUGAAGGAACUAGGCAAAAUGGUGCCGUAACUUCGGGAGAAGGCACGCCGAUUUUGGUGAUGGGAUUUACUCCCUAAGCUGAGGUUGGCCGCAGAGACCAGGCCCCUGCGACUGUUUAUCUAAAACACAGCACUCUGCAAACUCGUAAGAGGAAGUAUAGGGUGUGACGCCUGCCCGGUGCCGGAAGGUUAAUUGAUGGGGUUAGCUUCGGCGAAGCUCUUGAUCGAAGCCCCGGUAAACGGCGGCCGUAACUAUAACGGUCCUAAGGUAGCGAAAUUCCUUGUCGGGUAAGUUCCGACCUGCACGAAUGGCGUAAUGAUGGCCAGGCUGUCUCCACCCGAGACUCAGUGAAAUUGAACUCGCUGUGAAGAUGCAGUGUACCCGCGGCAAGACGGAAAGACCCCGUGAACCUUUACUAUAGCUUGACACUGAACAUUGAGCCUUGAUGUGUAGGAUAGGUGGGAGGCUUUGAAGUGUGGACGCCAGUCUGCAUGGAGCCGACCUUGAAAUACCACCCUUUAAUGUUUGAUGUUCUAACGUUGACCCGUAAUCCGGGUUGCGGACAGUGUCUGGUGGGUAGUUUGACUGGGGCGGUCUCCUCCUAAAGAGUAACGGAGGAGCACGAAGGUUGGCUAAUCCUGGUCGGACAUCAGGAGGUUAGUGCAAUGGCAUAAGCCAGCUUGACUGCGAGCGUGACGGCGCGAGCAGGUGCGAAAGCAGGUCAUAGUGAUCCGGUGGUUCUGAAUGGAAGGGCCA